AAAUAAAAUAUUUUUUAAAAUUAAUUAGGUCUAGGCUGGGCGUGGGGGUGCAUGCCUUUAAAUCCCAGAGCUUGGGAGGCAGAGGCAGGCGGAUCUCUUCUGUGAGUUUAAGGUCAGCCUGGUCUACAUAGUGAGUUCCAGGACAGCUGGGGCUACAUAGGGAGACCCUGUCUCAAAAAGAUAAAAAAAAAAAAAACCCAAAACCCCCAAAAUUAAUUAGGUGUAAAGGUAUAAGCAGUAGAUAAUAUCUAUUGUUAAAUCUUCAUGGAGCUUUGAGAAUUUUUGAAUUUAAAAUAAAUAAGUAGAACACUUCCUAUAUGAGGCCCCAGGUUUUAUCUCUAGCCCUGAAAAAAAUAAAAGCCAAUGAGAGAAUUCCAGAGUUAAGAAAACUGGGUAGUUGCUGGGGAGAGUUAAGAAAACUGGGUAGUUGCUGGGGAGAGUUAAGCUGCUGCUGCAAAGGUAGCUUUUGGGGUUGUCCUCAUUCUUCUGAAUUGCCAUAUCUGUCACUGCCUCCCUUGCCCAUGCAGUAAGACUUGUUCCUGUCCCACGGAAGGAGAAACACUGAAAGUGGAUUUCCACAAUAGAAAGGCUUCCUGGGCUUCACUGCUCGAGGAGAGUUGAGCAGUCAUCAGAGGACGAGGACGUCCAAACACAAUGCUAACCGCCUGCAGAAUGCUUUCACAAAUACAAAAGUAGAGAAAGUCCUUUGGAUUUGAGUCUCUAUCUCAAAAUUAAUGUAAAUAAUGACUAUAAAAGAUUUAAAACAUACUAUCAUAAGGUAAUCAAGGUGCUUAAAAUAGUCACUGAGUGCAAACUAUGACAGAGCAUUGAGGAAAAUUGAAACCAUUCUUGCUGCUCCUCAGUGUCAAGCAGGAAGAUUUUCCUGAUAAGUGCUACAGCAGGAAGACUAGGUCCAUUGCUGUCUUGAAGCGGUUAGAGUGAGAGUCAUGUGCCUAGAAGGGGUCAGCAAACAGAAUGCUGAAGGAGGCACUGGGGGGAUGUCCUCUGCCUUCAGGUCUUUGGCUCAGUGUGCCCUGCAGGCUCGUUCCAUUCAUCCCAAUUAUAGUAAGGGUUUUUAUUUUCAAUUUUUUCUUAGUUGAUGCCUUUUUUUUUUUUUUUUGGUUUUUUUGAGACAGGAUCUCCCUGUAGCCCCAGCUGUCCU
RNAcentral lists this long non-coding RNA (1162 nucleotides) under Nannospalax galili (Upper Galilee mountains blind mole rat). Its description in RNAcentral is "lncRNA (ENSNGAG00000024629.1)". Lineage: Eukaryota; Metazoa; Chordata; Mammalia; Rodentia; Spalacidae. The record is from RNAcentral.